AGAACGAACGCUGGCGGCAGGCUUAACACAUGCAAGUCGAGCGCCGUAGCAAUACGGAGCGGCAGACGGGUGAGUAACGCGUGGGAACAUACCCUCCGGUUCGGAAUAACUCAGGGAAACUUGAGCUAAUACCGGAUACGGCAUCGGAGAGAGAUCUCGGCGGCGAAAGAUUUAUCGCCGGAGGAUUGGCCCGCGUCCGAUUAGCUAGUUGGUGUGGUAAUGGCGCACCAAGGCGACGAUCGGUAGCUGGUCUGAGAGGAUGAUCAGCCACAUUGGGACUGAGACACGGCCCAAACUCCUACGGGAGGCAGCAGUGGGGAAUAUUGGACAAUGGGCGCAAGCCUGAUCCAGCCAUGCCGCGUGGAUGAUGAAGGCCUUAGGGUUGUAAAGUCCUUUUAACGGGGAAGAUAAUGACGGUACCCGUAGAAUAAGCCCCGGCUAACUUCGUGCCAGCAGCCGC
This 460-nucleotide ribosomal RNA is filed under the name uncultured bacterium. RNAcentral's name for it is "SSU rRNA". It matches the Rfam family "Bacterial small subunit ribosomal RNA", at positions 26 to 518 of the family's 1533-position model. The record is from RNAcentral.